AGAGAGGUGGCCGAGCGGUUUAAGGCGCACGCCUGGAAAGUGUGUAUACGCCAAAAGCGUAUCGAGGGUUCGAAUCCCUUCCUCUCUG
RNAcentral lists this transfer RNA (88 nucleotides) under Flavobacteriaceae bacterium. RNAcentral describes it as "tRNA-Ser". It matches the Rfam family "tRNA". From Rfam's summary of the family: Transfer RNA (tRNA) molecules are approximately 80 nucleotides in length. Their secondary structure includes four short double-helical elements and three loops (D, anti-codon, and T loops). Further hydrogen bonds mediate the characteristic L-shaped molecular structure. tRNAs have two regions of fundamental functional importance: the anti-codon, which is responsible for specific mRNA codon recognition, and the 3' end, to which the tRNAs corresponding amino acid is attached (by aminoacyl-tRNA synthetases). tRNAs cope with the degeneracy of the genetic code in two manners: having more than one tRNA (with a specific anti-codon) for a particular amino acid; and 'wobble' base-pairing, i.e. permitting non-standard base-pairing at the 3rd anti-codon position. The record is from RNAcentral. Lineage: Bacteria; Pseudomonadati; Bacteroidota; Flavobacteriia; Flavobacteriales; Flavobacteriaceae.